UACGGAGGAUGCAAGCGUUAUCCGGAAUUAUUGGGCGUAAAGCGUCCGCAGGUGGCUGUGUAAGUCUGCUGUCAAAGAGCAAAGCUCAACUUUGUAAAGGCAGUGGAAACUACACGGCUAGAGUGCGUUCGGGGCAGGGGGAAUUCCUGGUGUAGCGGUGAAAUGCGUAGAGAUCAGGAAGAACACCGGUGGCGAAGGCGCUCUGCUGGGCCGCAACUGACACUGAGGGACGAAAGCUAGGGGAGCGAAUGGG
RNAcentral lists this ribosomal RNA (253 nucleotides) under uncultured bacterium. RNAcentral's name for it is "partial 16S ribosomal RNA". It matches the Rfam family "Bacterial small subunit ribosomal RNA", at positions 524 to 776 of the family's 1533-position model. The record is from RNAcentral.